AACCUGCCCAGUGCUAAUUGUAAAUGGCCGCAGUACCUUGACUGUGCUAAGGUAGCAUAAUCAAUUGGCUUUUAAAUGGAGUCGGGAAUGAAUGGAUUAAUGGGGUGAGACUGUCUCUUCUAUAUUAAAUUGAAUUUACUUAUUAGGUGAAAAUUCCUAAAUACUGAAAAAAGACGAGAAGACCCUAGGAGUUUUUACUAAAAGUUAUUAUUUAGCUUAUGUUUUGGUUGGGGCGACAUUGGAAAAAUUGAACUUCCUUUAUAUCAUAUGCCGACUUGGUAUGAAAAUUUAAACUACCCUAGGGAUAACAGCGUAAUUCUUUUUUGAGCUUGCGACCUCGAUGUUGGACUAGGAAUUUACUAGGCUAGCCGUCUACCUACAC
Molecule: ribosomal RNA, 382 nt
Filed under: Thuridilla albopustulosa
Lineage: Eukaryota; Metazoa; Mollusca; Gastropoda; Plakobranchidae
Description: partial 16S ribosomal RNA
Rfam family: Archaeal large subunit ribosomal RNA
Source: RNAcentral